GACACAUGGGCCCCGCACACAUCCUUCAACCUCUCGCUCGGUCUCCUGCUUCUGCACGACAGCGCCGCCACGCCCAGAUCGGACUCCGUGCGAUUCGCCCGAUCCCGAGUUCCUCGGUCCAACCCGUGGGCACCAAGAGACUCUCAAACCCCUCGACUGGUUCCCACAAUCACCGCUUGAGGCCCGCCCUGAUUUCAUGCUCGCUGGCCUCGAGAUGAUCCGCCGCAGAGCCAAACACCGGCGUGUGAAUCGACCAUCUCCGAUUGCUCGGAGCGUGACAAGUAGAAUUAUCAAGAUUGUGAGUGCGACGAUCUUCAUCAAACUUACAGGCAAGUUACACCUUGAUCAUCCUUCAUCCUAUUUUUUAUGCAUGUAGUUAUAUAUCACAUUACUAUAUUAUGCAUGUGUAGGAAUAUUAUGGUAGCAUGUUACUGCUAUUGAGAUGCAGUUAGUACGGCCUUAUUGUAGAUCUUGGUAGUUGUACUCUUGCUAUGCUAUGUAGACGGGGAUUGGUUCAUGUAUUCAUCGAGAUUAUGUGAGGACUAUAUAUAAUAUAACUUGAGUAAAAACAUCAUAUAUAUUUACCUAUGGACGGACAGGGUUGCAUCAAGGUUUCUUGUUCCUUUUCGACGGGCAUGGACCAUGGCUAAGUGCGCCCAAACGGUAUUGCUGGGUGGUUUCAAGAACAUCAUGGUUUAUACCCACUAAAUGUAAGUGGGUGUCGUCCAGGCUCAAAGAUCAGACAAACUUAGUGACUAGUAGCUUCCAUGUACAACCACUGGCUAAUAUGGGCUCUGGCUUAGUUGAUCAGUUGUGGAGACGUUACCUGGAUGUGCCAGCAGAUGUAGUUAUCAUAGUUGGGAUGGGCCUCCUAUGGGACUAGGCGACUGCUUCUGAAAGACUUUGUCUCAAUCUUCGGGUUGAGUCCAAUGGAUAAAGUGUACAAACCUCUGCAGAGUGUAUAAACUAAUCAUGAUUAGCCGUGUCCCCAGUUAUGGAUAAA
Long non-coding RNA from Triticum aestivum (bread wheat), 1003 nucleotides. RefSeq lists it as uncharacterized. The record is from RefSeq and is a predicted model, not a curated record. Lineage: Eukaryota; Viridiplantae; Streptophyta; Magnoliopsida; Poales; Poaceae. The transcript is spliced from 2 exons.